RNAcentral lists this ribosomal RNA (253 nucleotides) under uncultured bacterium. Its description in RNAcentral is "partial 16S ribosomal RNA". It matches the Rfam family "Bacterial small subunit ribosomal RNA", at positions 524 to 776 of the family's 1533-position model. The record is from RNAcentral.
UACGUAGGGUCCGAGCGUUGUCCGGAAUUAUUGGGCGUAAAGGGCUCGUAGGCGGUUUGUCACGUCGGGCGUGAAAACUCAGGGCUCAACCCUGAGCGUGCGUUCGAUACGGGCAGACUAGAGGUAUGCAGGGGAGAACGGAAUUCCUGGUGUAGCGGUGGAAUGCGCAGAUAUCAGGAGGAACACCGGUGGCGAAGGCGGUUCUCUGGGCCUUACCUGACGCUGAGGAGCGAAAGCGUGGGGAGCAAACAGG